RNAcentral lists this unclassified non-coding RNA (213 nucleotides) under soil metagenome. RNAcentral's name for it is "partial internal transcribed spacer 1". The record is from RNAcentral.
ACCUUUCAAAUCAGGGUGCGGCGCGGCCCCCGAGGAGCGGAAACAAUCCUUGGGAGGUACGCGGGGGCUUCGAGCCCCCCAUUUACGCACGCACGACUGCCAUCCUUACUUUACGAGCACCUUCUGUUCUCCCUCGGCGGGGCAACCUGCCGUUGGAACCGAAUAAACUCUUUUUGCAUCUAGCAUUACCUGUUCCGAAACAAACAAUCGUUA